Molecule: ribosomal RNA, 497 nt
Filed under: uncultured bacterium
Lineage: Bacteria
Description: partial 16S ribosomal RNA
Rfam family: Bacterial small subunit ribosomal RNA
Source: RNAcentral
GAUGAACGCUGGCGGCGUGCCUAAUACAUGCAAGUCGAGCGAACAGAUAAGGAGCUUGCUCCUUUGACGUUAGCGGCGGAUGGGUGAGUAACACGUGGGUAACCUACCUAUAAGACUGGGAUAACUUCGGGAAACCGGAGCUAAUACCGGAUAACAUUUGGAACCGCAUGGUUCUAAAGUGAAAGAUGGUUUUGCUAUCACUUAUAGAUGGACCCGCGCCGUAUUAGCUAGUUGGUAAGGUAACGGCUUACCAAGGCAACGAUACGUAGCCGACCUGAGAGGGUGAUCGGCCACACUGGAACUGAGACACGGUCCAGACUCCUACGGGAGGCAGCAGUAGGGAAUCUUCCGCAAUGGGCGAAAGCCUGACGGAGCAACGCCGCGUGAGUGAUGAAGGGUUUCGGCUCGUAAAACUCUGUUAUUAGGGAAGAACAAACGUGUAAGUAACUGUGCACGUCUUGACGGUACCUAAUCAGAAAGCCACGGCUAACUACGUG